UACAGAGGGUGCAAGCGUUGUUCGGCAUUAUUGGGCGUACAGCGCGUGUAGGCGGCUUUGCAAGUCGGGUGUGAAAGCCCUCAGCUCAACUGAGGAAGUGCGCCCGAAACUGCAGAGCUUGAGUGCCGGAGAGGGUGGCGGAAUUCCCCAAGUAGAGGUGAAAUUCGUAGAUAUGGGGAGGAACACCGGUGGCGAAGGCGGCCACCUGGACGGUAACUGACGCUGAGACGCGAAAGCGUGGGGAGCAAACAGG
RNAcentral lists this ribosomal RNA (253 nucleotides) under uncultured bacterium. Its description in RNAcentral is "partial 16S ribosomal RNA". It matches the Rfam family "Bacterial small subunit ribosomal RNA", at positions 524 to 776 of the family's 1533-position model. The record is from RNAcentral.